CCUACGGGAGGCUGCAGUGGGGAAUAUUGCACAAUGGGGGAAACCCUGAUGCAGCAACGCCGCGUGAGCGAAGAAGGCCUUCGGGUCGUAAAGCUCUGUCCUAAGGGAAGAAGCAUGACGGUACCUUAGGAGGAAGCCCUGGCUAACUACGUGCCAGCCGCCGCGGUAAUACGUAGGGGGCGAGCGUUAUCCGGAAUCACUGUGCGUAAAGGGUGCGUAUGCGACCAAUUAAGCCAGAGGUGAAAGGCUACGGCUUCACCGUAGUAAGCCCUUGGAACUGAAUGGCUUGAGUGCAGGAGAGGAGAAUGAAAUUCCUAGUGUACCGGUGAAAUGCGUAGAUAUUAGGAGGAACACCAGUGGCGAAGGCGACUCUCUGGACUGUAACUGACGCUGAGGCACGAAAGCGUGGAGAGCAAACAGGAUUAGAUACCCUAGUAGUC
This 440-nucleotide ribosomal RNA is filed under the name uncultured bacterium. RNAcentral describes it as "bacterial SSU rRNA". It matches the Rfam family "Bacterial small subunit ribosomal RNA", at positions 338 to 795 of the family's 1533-position model. The record is from RNAcentral.